CUUCGUCUCAAGGCUUUGUCAUUCAUCUUUCACGGUGUGUACUCUCAAUCUCCGGCUAGAACGAUCCCUACUUAUUCUGUACUGACAACUACAUUUUGCAGGUUAAAUUGCGCGCUUAUUUUUAGCGUAUCAAAGACCACUAUUGGUCUGAAUGACACUCCACUCUUAUCUCUCUUUUUGGGUUCUCAUAAUAUAGUUUUCAACUAUUAUCUGAAUUGUGGUGGUUGUUAGUGUUGCACUUUACAAUCUGUGCAUAUCCAAAUGGGUAGGUCAAGAUAGUCAAGUGAUAAUAACUAUCAUAGUUUUUGAACUUUUAACCUAGCAAAAAAAAAAGUAUAUUUUCUAAUUGUUGGAAAUCCAUAAUAUUAUAAGAAAAUUUUGGUUUUGUUAAAGGAAAAACACAUUAUGUGUCAUCGUCAAAGUAACUGACGAAGAGGGAAUUAAGGAACUGCAAUUACAGCUCAAUCAGCAUUUACUAUCAUUAUUGUAAUUGAUAUUUCCGUUAUAAUUCUAUUCCUAUAUACAGGGACUAUGAAGUAAAA
Long non-coding RNA from Rosa chinensis, 542 nucleotides. RefSeq lists it as uncharacterized. The record is from RefSeq and is a predicted model, not a curated record. Lineage: Eukaryota; Viridiplantae; Streptophyta; Magnoliopsida; Rosales; Rosaceae. The transcript has 2 exons.